GACGUAGGGUCCAAGCGUUGUCCGGAUUUACUGGGCGUAAAGAGCGCGUAGGCGGUCUGUUAAGUGUAGAGUGAAAUCUCCAGGGCUCAACCCGGAAACUGCUCUGCAUACUGGCAGACUGGAGUGAUGCAGAGGUUUGUGGAAUUCCUGGUGUAACGGUGAAAUGUGUUGAUAUCAGGAGGAACACCCAUGGCGAAGGCAGCAAACUGGGCAGUAACUGACGCUGAGGCGCGAAAGCGUGGGUAGCAAACAGG
This 254-nucleotide ribosomal RNA is filed under the name uncultured bacterium. RNAcentral describes it as "partial 16S ribosomal RNA". It matches the Rfam family "Bacterial small subunit ribosomal RNA", at positions 524 to 776 of the family's 1533-position model. The record is from RNAcentral.